RNAcentral lists this unclassified non-coding RNA (312 nucleotides) under Hevea brasiliensis (rubber tree). Lineage: Eukaryota; Viridiplantae; Streptophyta; Magnoliopsida; Malpighiales; Euphorbiaceae. The record is from RNAcentral.
GAUGGUUUCUCUUAUAAAUAAUAAGAAGACCUCAACAAGGAGAAAGAAAGGUAAAAUCCUAAAACUCCUGCACCCAAGUAGGCAGUCUUCAUACGGAUUCUCACAACUGAAUAUUGGUUGACUCAGCCAUUCUUUAAAUUCUCUUCUUGACCAUUCAUUUCCCCGGCUCUUCCUUAACUCUCCUUUUGCUUUUGCUCACAAAGAAACAACAAUUACCAGCUUAAACAACUUUUCCCCUCAGUUCCCUCCCAACUUCUCCAACCACAAGAUGAGAUGCCCAUCCAUUAGCUUCCACAAACAAAAUAAUAUGCU